CCUACGGGAGGCAGCAGUGAGGAAUAUUGGUCAAUGGCCGGAAGGCUGAACCAGCCAUGCCGCGUGAAGGUCAGUGCCCUCUGGGCGUUAAACUUCUUUUGUGCGGGAGCAAUAAUGGUCACGUGUGGCCAGACGAGAGUACCGUACGAAUAAGCAUCGGCUAACUCCGUGCCAGCAGCCGCGGUAAUACAGGGGAUGCAAGCUUUAUCCGGAUUUAUUGGGUUUAAAGGGUGCGUAGGCUGGGAGGUAAGUCAGCGGGGAAAUGCCCCCGCUCAACGGGGUGAAGUGCCAUUGAUACUGCCUGGCUGGAAUGCGGAUGCCGUGGGAGGAAUGUGUGGUGUAGCGGUGAAAUGCAGAGAGAUCACACAGAACACCGAUUGCGAAGGCAGCUCACGAAUCCGCGAUUGACGCUGAUGCACGAAAGCGUGGGUAUCAAACAGGAUUAGAUACCCGAGUAGUC
This 460-nucleotide ribosomal RNA is filed under the name uncultured bacterium. Its description in RNAcentral is "partial 16S ribosomal RNA". It matches the Rfam family "Bacterial small subunit ribosomal RNA", at positions 338 to 795 of the family's 1533-position model. The record is from RNAcentral.